UACGGGGGGAGCAAGCGUUGUUCGGAUUUACUGGGCGUAAAGGGCGCGUAGGCGGCCACGACAAGUCACUUGUGAAAUCUCCGGGCUUAACUCGGAAAGGUCAAGUGAUACUGUCGGGCUAGAGUGCAGAAGGGGCAACUGGAAUUCUCGGUGCAGCGGUGAAAUGCGUAGAUAUCGAGAGGAACACCUGCGGCGAAGGCGGGUUGCUGGGCUGACACUGACGCUGAGGCGCGAAAGCCAGGGGAGCGAACGGG
RNAcentral lists this ribosomal RNA (254 nucleotides) under uncultured bacterium. RNAcentral's name for it is "partial 16S ribosomal RNA". It matches the Rfam family "Bacterial small subunit ribosomal RNA", at positions 524 to 776 of the family's 1533-position model. The record is from RNAcentral.